GUGACUGUUCUUGGUAAUGACUGCACUGUUAGUUGUACAGUGCAACCACAGGCAGUCACGUGCUCCAUCAACACAGAUGGUUCCUGCCGACAGGGUCUGUACAGCUAUCAGAUUUUCUGUGCGAUGGUUCCAUACAUG
Molecule: small nucleolar RNA, 138 nt
Organism: Otolemur garnettii (small-eared galago)
Lineage: Eukaryota; Metazoa; Chordata; Mammalia; Primates; Galagidae
Source: Ensembl